Molecule: long non-coding RNA, 1214 nt
Organism: Eufriesea mexicana
Lineage: Eukaryota; Metazoa; Arthropoda; Insecta; Hymenoptera; Apidae
Exons: 3
Source: RefSeq, a predicted model, not a curated record
AUUUGAUGUUGUCUCUGUAAAGUAGUAUUUAAUGACUUUCGAGAAUUAAUAAAUACUCGCAUAUUUCUGUUGAGAUAUUUAGGACCUCGAAAACGACGUUCAACGAUCAGGAUAUAAUAUUAUCGAUCAACGUACACAAUUUUCAACAAGAAAAUUAUUAAUUCCACUUGGACAAUUGGGACUAAACAAGAACAGGGGUGUUAAACUAAUCGAUGCUAAAAGGUGUGAUGCAACAUCAGUGCAAUUUAAAAAAUGCUAGAGAACGUUUAUCAUCGACAUGUCUCUAUAUAUGCACUACAAAUUCAAUUAGUUUCGCUCAAUAGAUGGUAAUAAUAGAGCUCAGCAAAUAUGAUCGCAUAUGGAAAUGUAUGCAUAACGUGCACGAAACUAAACUUUCAGGUGUGUCACGUUUCUAAUGGAAUAAAAUAUACGUCAAUAAUCAUACAGUGUAAUGGUACGUGGGUAACAAGCGACCGAACAACGAAGCAGUCUAGUUAGGGGUAUACUCUAGCUACAGCUCUCACUUUGAAUGCACCAUUGAUUUGUAGCAUUAUUAUAGUACUACUGCCAAAAAAUCAAUAAACUUUCCGGCCAACUGAAAUGAAAAGGUAAGAAUUUAAAAAAAAAGAAAAAAAUUAAAGUCAAUAAGUUCGAUAACGCUGCGGUUUCAGGAACGGCCAAAGUCUUAGCGCAUCGCAAAAUCUCGUCUAAAGCGGAAAGAAAGGAGGGACGCGUCUCGAAGUGAAAGGCACAGACGAGGGAGAAAAAAGACAUCAAGCGGCAUGACACGAUGAAUAAUAGAAGAAACAAACGGAAAGACGAUCGACGUGAGAAAAGAUAUUAAAACGUAUCUCUGAAAAGUGCGAUCAAAAAGCGUUCCGCGCUUUUCUCGGAUCGAGCACGGCAAGGUCCGACGUCCAAGUACCGCGGUCUCACAUCCCGGAUUAUCGUCCAUCGUCACGCAUUUUCUUUCUCAUCUCUCGCACUUCAACGUUUUCAUUCUGUCGUUGCCUUUCUCGUGGCUGUUCGUUGCUACGAAAACUUGCAGAGUUUCUAUGUUGUCGGACGUUGCCAGGAAAGACUGGAGGAUCGAACCGAUCAAGGAUAGUUUCGUGGAUUUUGCUCGAUUCUUUUCGACUGAACGACCGAAACACAUGCAGCAAAAGAGAACAAGAUUCAGCAAAGUCCGACAAUAGCAGAACACCGAGUGCGCA